CCCUUAGAUGUUCUGGGCGGCCCGCGCACUACAUUGGCACUCUCAAUAAGUUCCUAGAUCUAAAACUUUGGGGUAUUCUAUUAAGUGGUGUCGUGACUGGGAUUAACCCUUGCAAUUAUUGGUUACGAACGAGGAAUUCCUUGUAAUCGCGGUUUAUCAGCCCGCGUUGAAUGCGUCCCUGCCCUUUGUACACACCGCCCGUCGCUCCUACCGAUGAAUCGUCCGGUGAAGUUCAUGGAGUGGUGGUUGUUCCAGCUGCUGUCGAAGUGAAAUGGACCUCACGAUUUAGAGGAAGGAGAAGGCGUAACA
RNAcentral lists this ribosomal RNA (309 nucleotides) under uncultured eukaryote. RNAcentral describes it as "partial 18S ribosomal RNA". It matches the Rfam family "Eukaryotic small subunit ribosomal RNA", at positions 1470 to 1796 of the family's 1831-position model. The record is from RNAcentral.